UUUUUUUUUAAACAAUUGUACCCUAAUUUUUUUUUAUAACAAAUAUAUCCUAAGCUUCAAACUUCACUACGAUUCAAACCUACCAUUAGUUGCCCUAUUCAAUAUUAUCAGAGAUAUCAAGUCAACACAUAUAAUUCCCAAACUUAUACUAAUUAAAUUUAAUUUAUAUUAAAAGAAAAAAGAAAAGAAAAUUUAUUUCCAACGAGACUGAUACUAUUUCUACAAAAAACAUAAAGGAUCAUCUUCCAUCUCCCCACCUCUCCACUAUUAGCUUUCCUCUACCUUCACACCUCACAAUGCCUAUUUGAUACUAAUCUACUAUACACACUCACUUUAUUAUCAACAAUCAGUGCAUUUAUUUCUCCCCUACUGUAUCAAGGCAUACAAUAUCUCUCUCAAUUAUCCUUCAUCAUCUUGACAAGUUAUCAUCUUUGUAACACUCAUCUCUACCUAACCCAACUCUAUCCUUACGAAGUCUCAAUCUUACUUUUCAUUAAUCACUCCUUUCAACAACUUAAUUAGACCCAUAUUAACAGUCCCAAAAUAAACUCAUUAAUUCAUCAAUUGGAAUUUAUUUGUAAAUUGAGUUUAAGAAA
This 596-nucleotide unclassified non-coding RNA is filed under the name Hevea brasiliensis (rubber tree). The record is from RNAcentral. Lineage: Eukaryota; Viridiplantae; Streptophyta; Magnoliopsida; Malpighiales; Euphorbiaceae.